Molecule: non-coding RNA, 390 nt
Organism: Triticum urartu
Lineage: Eukaryota; Viridiplantae; Streptophyta; Magnoliopsida; Poales; Poaceae
Source: RefSeq, a predicted model, not a curated record
GCAACCCAGUUGAAUGAAGAAUGGUGUACAUUGGCACUGAACAGAUUGAAAGAGGCCUCCCCACUUGCUUUGAAAGUAUCACUACGAUCGAUACGUGAAGGUAGAUAUCAGACACUUGAUGAAUGCCUUGUGCGCGAAUAUCGCAUGUCCAUCAAUGGCAUUUCAAAGCCAUUUUAUCAUGAUUUUUGUGAGGGUGUGAGAGCGCGACUGGUUGACAAGGACUUGGCCCCAAAGUGGGAUCCUCCUGCGCUCGAGUUCGUUUCCGAGGACAUGGUAGAUUCUUACUUUGCCCCACUAGGAGAAUUCGAGCCUGAACUAAAGCUGCCCACAGAACAGCGAGAGGCAUUCAUAUAGAUUGCCCGAGCCCAUUUUUGUUGUCAGCACAUAAAA